Syngnathus acus (greater pipefish) is the source of this 276-nucleotide long non-coding RNA. RefSeq lists it as uncharacterized. Lineage: Eukaryota; Metazoa; Chordata; Actinopteri; Syngnathiformes; Syngnathidae. The transcript has 2 exons. The record is from RefSeq and is a predicted model, not a curated record.
ACUAUAAAUGGGAAUUAAAAAAAAAAAUUGCACCAAAAUAUUUUGAAAUUUGGAACAAAAUGAAAACUACAGGUUCAAGAGGUUCACCUUGGAGUUCAAAAGUUGAAACGGGUUGAAUCGGACAAAAAUUGUAAAAGUUAGAGCAAAUGUUUUAUUUAGGUCACUUCUGGUUUUAUUUAGGGCACUUCUUGUUGAAAUAAGGUCAGUUCCGGUUUAUUUGGGGAACUUCCGGUUUAAUUUAGGUCACUUCCGGUUUAUUUGGGCCACUUCCGGUUU